Long non-coding RNA from Choloepus didactylus (southern two-toed sloth), 1247 nucleotides. RefSeq lists it as uncharacterized. Lineage: Eukaryota; Metazoa; Chordata; Mammalia; Pilosa; Megalonychidae. The transcript has 3 exons. The record is from RefSeq and is a predicted model, not a curated record.
CGCGGACGACGUAGACGACGAGGUGCUGGAUGAGGAUGACUUGAAGCCGCCGCCGACCAGCUUGUCUCCGGGGUGCGUGCCCGCUGCGCCCAUGGCACCGCGCAGCUCGGUGCUCAGCUCCGGCGGGCAGUCGCUCGGUGUGGACGAGGACACGGUGCCUCCCGAGAAGCCGCCGCCGCCGCCGCUGCCUUUGCUCCGGGCGGGUAGAAAAAGGUCAUCGGGUUCCGGCGACGACGGGCGGCUGGACACCAGACUGGCGUCCGAGUCCAUGGCCCCAGGCAGUAGGCACAGCUUACGCCGGGGACUCCCGCCCUCGAAUCGCGUUGCUUCCACGCGCGCCUCCUGCAGAGAGGAGGGAAACAGGAGAGAGACACACCGAGAGACACUAAGUCAGCACGAGGGAAAGUUCGCUGCUCCCGCCUGCACCUCAGCGCCGCAUCCAAGCGCCGGUGGCGGACCACCUCGCGGUUCUCUUUGGCCUUCCUUCUAGGGACUUGCAAGUACUCGCAAAUAAUUUCUUCCCACCGCCUCUUCUUUGCCCCUGCCCACAGUUUGUUUUAUUACGGGGAACCCUGAGUGUCCCUCACAACUGGGGGUUGUCAGGACGGCAUCCUAGAGGUUUUGCACCUUCGGUUGGGAAUGGGGAGGCUGGGUCUCUAGGGCUGAAAUAAAAGAGUGGCCGGCGGGGGCUCUUCUUUGGGGAGGGUGGAGAGCUAAGUAGAGAAGCACUUAUUUGGUUCCUCAAAUCCAUCCAUCGCAUUUCCAUCAACACCGCGCAGCAAACACACGCGCAAAUCCGCGGAUUCCGUGUGUGGCAUCCCGGGGCCGCGCGGGUGGCUCGUCAGCUGACGGAGAUUUGGGCAGAAGGAACUGCUGUCGCCCCGACUUCUCGCUUUUUUGCGAAGAGGCUGCUGCGGAUCUCUGCCUUCAGCCCCACCACAUGAGGAAUGAAGGAUCACGGGGGAGUACUGAGCUUACUACCUGUGUACCUUUGCUAGACAAGACAGAUUGGUAAACUAAAUAACUAAACUUUAAGCAGCCAAGUAGAAUGAAGGCAGGAUGCCCUCGAAAGCAGAAGUGACGGCUGAAGGACACGGAAAAGCCAUGAAAAGCAGACACAAAACCUCCCAAACCAUCAUCGCCGGGGUCAGGAGGCAGGAGGGCACAGCCAUUGAGGAGACGAAGAAUAGCACACAGUCGUAUUGUGCUGCCUGGUUUACAGAGCUCUCUCGCACAUUCUAUUUCGU